Molecule: ribosomal RNA, 272 nt
Filed under: uncultured bacterium
Lineage: Bacteria
Description: partial 16S ribosomal RNA
Rfam family: Bacterial small subunit ribosomal RNA
Source: RNAcentral
GACGAACGUUGGCGGUGCGCUUUAUACAUGCAAGUCGUGCGCGAAAGGCCCCUUCGGGGGCCGGAGUAGAGCGGCGGACGGGUGCGUAACACGUGAGCAACCUGCCCUGGAGUGGGGAAUAACUCCGAGAAAUCGGGGCGUAAUACCGCAUGAUGUCGCAGCUCCGCAUGAAGCUGCGCUUAAAGUCGGCCUCUGCUUGCAAGCUGGCGCUCCAGGAUGGGCUCGCGGCCUAUUAGCUAGUUGGCGGGGUAAUGGCCCACCAAGGCUACGAU